Molecule: long non-coding RNA, 284 nt
Filed under: Panax ginseng (ginseng)
Lineage: Eukaryota; Viridiplantae; Streptophyta; Magnoliopsida; Apiales; Araliaceae
Description: long non-coding RNA (PGIN_LNC012814)
Source: RNAcentral
ACACAUAACACAUAACCCUAUAAGUCUAUACAGCACAUAAGACUUAGUAUUAUGUCAAACUAUUUCAGUCUGACUUAAAAUUAACACCAUUUUAUCAUCCCGACGGUCUAGUCGAAUAAUACCCGAGUUUAAGUUCAGUUAAACUCUGCCUAGCCCUUAACAAUUAUCACAGAUAAUUUCUUAUCCGUCAAAACAUUUUUCCUAGGCUCGUAAUAAUUUUCAAAUAAUUAUUACCAUUUAUCAUGAUUUUCCAAUCAUUAAUACCGUAUUUAAAUGAAUUAAAU